RNAcentral lists this ribosomal RNA (656 nucleotides) under uncultured bacterium. Its description in RNAcentral is "bacterial SSU rRNA". It matches the Rfam family "Bacterial small subunit ribosomal RNA", at positions 842 to 1502 of the family's 1533-position model. The record is from RNAcentral.
AGUAACGAAGCUAACGCGUGAAGUUGACCGCCUGGGGAGUACGGUCGCAAGAUUAAAACUCAAAGGAAUUGACGGGGACCCGCACAAGCGGUGGAUGAUGUGGAUUAAUUCGAUGCAACGCGAAAAACCUUACCUACCCUUGACAUGUCCAGGAUCCUGCAGAGAUGCGGGAGUGCCCGAAAGGGAAUUGGAACACAGGUGCUGCAUGGCUGUCGUCAGCUCGUGUCGUGAGAUGUUGGGUUAAGUCCCGCAACGAGCGCAACCCUUAUCAUUAGUUGCUACGCAAGGGCACUCUAAUGAGACUGCCGGUGACAAACCGGAGGAAGGUGGGGAUGACGUCAAGUCCUCAUGGCCCUUAUGGGUAGGGCUUCACACGUCAUACAAUGGUCGGUACAGAGGGUUGCCAAGCCGCGAGGUGGAGCCAAUCCCAGAAAGCCGAUCGUAGUCCGGAUUGUUCUCUGCAACUCGAGAGCAUGAAGUCGGAAUCGCUAGUAAUCGCGGAUCAGCAUGUCGCGGUGAAUACGUUCCCGGGUCUUGUACACACCGCCCGUCACACCAUGGGAGUGGAAUCUGGCAGAAGUAGGUAGCCUAACCGCAAGGGGGGCGCUUACCACGCUGGGUUUCAUGACUGGGGUGAAGUCGUAACAAGGUAGCCG